This is a non-coding RNA of Caenorhabditis elegans, 119 nucleotides long. Lineage: Eukaryota; Metazoa; Nematoda; Chromadorea; Rhabditida; Rhabditidae. The record is from Ensembl.
CAGAAGAAGAAGCAUGCGAGAUAGAGAGAGCAACAAGCAACAGAUGCUCCGAGCAUUUGUUUUGUGAGUGAGUAAACGUCUCCCCUAUCAUCUGAACUGUCGUCGGAAGAAUGAGAGAG